AUUGAACGCUGGCGGCAGGCUUAACACAUGCAAGUCGAGCGGGGGAAGGCAGCUUGCUACCGGACCUAGCGGCGGACGGGUGAGUAAUGCUUAGGAAUCUGCCUAUUAGUGGGGGACAACAUCUCGAAAGGGAUGCUAAUACCGCAUACGUCCUACGGGAGAAAGCAGGGGAUCUUCGGACCUUGCGCUAAUAGAUGAGCCUAAGUCGGAUUAGCUAGUUGGUGGGGUAAAGGCCUACCAAGGCGACGAUCUGUAGCGGGUCUGAGAGGAUGAGCCGCCACACUGGGAAUGAGCCACGGCCCAGACUCCUACGGGAGGCAGCAGGGGGGGAUAUUGGACAAUGGGGGGAACCCUGAUCCAGACAUGCCGCGUGUGUGAAGAAGGCCUUAUGGUUGUAAAGCACUUUAAGCGAGGAGGAGGCUACUUUAGUUAGUACCUAGAGAUAGUGGACGUUACUCGCAGAAUAAGCACCGGCUAACCCUGUGCCAGCAGCCGCCGCAG
This 501-nucleotide ribosomal RNA is filed under the name uncultured bacterium. RNAcentral describes it as "partial 16S ribosomal RNA". It matches the Rfam family "Bacterial small subunit ribosomal RNA", at positions 30 to 523 of the family's 1533-position model. The record is from RNAcentral.